AUUGAACGCUGGCGGCAUGGUUAAUGCAUGCAAGUCGAACGAAAGCCCUUCGGGGUGAAAGUGGCGAAAGGGCGAGUAAUGCGAUCGAACGUACCCCAAGGUGGAGGAUAGUGUCGGGAAACCGGCGGUAAUACUCCAUGUGCUCUUCGGAGGAAAGCUUUGGCGCCUUGGGAGCGGCGAUCGUCCUAUCAGGUAGUUGGUGAGGUAAAGGCUCACCAAGCCGAAGACGGGUAGCGGGUGUGAGAGCAUGACCCGCCGCAUCGGAACUGAGACACUGUCCGG
Molecule: ribosomal RNA, 282 nt
Filed under: uncultured bacterium
Lineage: Bacteria
Description: partial 16S ribosomal RNA
Rfam family: Bacterial small subunit ribosomal RNA
Source: RNAcentral